GGGGGGAGUUGGGAAGAGGAGGCAGAGAGAAAGACAGCCCUGAGUCAUCAGUGCUGGGUAAGGGGUGAGGAGAUCAACUAAACAGAAGUAGGGGUCAAAUUCUACACCUUUGACUUUGUUGGUCUUUGUUGUUGGUCUGGAUCUGGAAUUUCACUGGUUCUGAGAACUCCCAGUAUGGAAUACUCCCUCUUCUGAUGCAGAUUGGCUGCAAAGUCUGAAACAUGAGGACCUCUUCUUACCUCCCACCCAGCAAAAGGAAACAGGUGGAGCUACCCAAAACCAUGGAUAGUACUCCUGUAGAACAGCCAUUUCAUGCAGAAUCAACACAGGUUCAUUCCAGGGAAAGGGAACGGGAAGAGCUUAGGGAACCCCUGAUAAAAUGGGAAACAGGACAGAAAGGGUUUAAAUCCCCACACAUUCUCCCUAGAUUCCUUUUUCUCUCUUCCAGAAUAGAGUGGAAAAUGGAUCCCCACCGUCAUGGCAGGAGCAGGAGUUAAUCUACCAAUUUACAGAGAUUUCCUUCCUAUAGCUCCUAUGCAUAGAGGCAGUCCCUGGAGGUCACGACCAGUAUUGACAUUUAUCCCAAAUUCUUUCUCAGUCAGGAAGACUGCCCCUAUCAAGGCAAUUCUUCCUUCUUCCUUCCUCUUCUGCCUUCACUUUGGUCACUACCUGAAGACUCAUUACCUGUCAAAAGAUAUUCAGAAUUAGUUCACUAACAUCAUUGCUGGUGUUGCCACAAACAAAUGGAUUGAGAAACUUACAAGUAUUAAAGAGAACCAGUUUAAGAGUACUAAGAUUAUGACUUGAUUAUGACAUGAAUGUAUCUGUGUGGUGUAUUUAUACGAAGAACUCUAACACAGAGGCUGUUAAAAAUGUAUUAGCACUUCAGUGGAACAUGAAUUUAAACCACUUCCAAAACACCACCCUGAUACCUCAUCAGGACAUGGAGGUAACCCUGGCU
Molecule: non-coding RNA, 961 nt
Organism: Phascolarctos cinereus (koala)
Lineage: Eukaryota; Metazoa; Chordata; Mammalia; Diprotodontia; Phascolarctidae
Source: RefSeq, a predicted model, not a curated record